CAGUAGCCACGGUAAUACGAAGGGGGCUAGCGUUGCUCGGAAUUACUGGGCGUAAAGGGCGCGUAGGCGGACAGUUCAGUCGGGGGUGAAAGCCCGGGGCUCAACCUCGGAAUUGCCUUCGAUACUGGCUGUCUUGAGUAUGAGAGAGGUGUGUGGAACUCCGGGUGUAGAGGUGAAAUUCGUAGAUAUUCGGAAGAACACCAGUGGCGAAGGCGACACACUGGCUCAUUACUGACGCUGAGGCGCGAAAGCGUGGGGAGCAAACAGGACUAGAGACCCCGGUAGUCCCUGUCUCUUAUAC
Molecule: ribosomal RNA, 301 nt
Filed under: uncultured bacterium
Lineage: Bacteria
Description: partial 16S ribosomal RNA
Rfam family: Bacterial small subunit ribosomal RNA
Source: RNAcentral